AUGGCUUCCAGGCCCACUUCCUAGAGGUAAAGUUUAAGCAUUACUGACUAUAGGCAAACAAUGGCCUCUCAGCUGUCCAUCAGAAGAAGCUACAGAAAAGUAAGUUUUCUUUAUUCAGUCAACAAAUAUUUACUGAGUUCCCACUAUAGGCCAGGCAUACUCUGCUGGGCGCCGGGAAGAGAAAACACCUGCUCUCAGGAGGGAGAGCGACAGGGGUUACUGGCUCAAAUCUGUGUGUGAGAUUGAAGUUCUAAGGAAGGCUUUGACCUAAUGUAGUGAGAAGAAUAAAACACAAAUAAUUUAUAGUAAAUGAGGAUGAGAGAGACCACAAAAUUUAAUGUUAUUAAAUUCUUCCUCAUAAGGAGGAAGAAACAAGGCCUUUAAGAAAAACGUUGUAAGUUGUCAUUGUUUUUUGUUUUUUGUUUUUUUUUU
RNAcentral lists this long non-coding RNA (432 nucleotides) under Homo sapiens (human). RNAcentral's name for it is "HSALNT0089207". The record is from RNAcentral. Lineage: Eukaryota; Metazoa; Chordata; Mammalia; Primates; Hominidae.